Melanaphis sacchari is the source of this 1035-nucleotide long non-coding RNA. RefSeq lists it as uncharacterized. Lineage: Eukaryota; Metazoa; Arthropoda; Insecta; Hemiptera; Aphididae. The record is from RefSeq and is a predicted model, not a curated record. The transcript has 4 exons.
AAUAUAAACAUGUCUGAUAAUAUUUUGGAAAUAUUUAACAAAAUCAUUGGAAAACUUAUUUCUAGAGUAAAAGUUUAAAACAGAAACAUAAAUACGCGAAGUUACAAAUAUGCGUGAACUGUUUAACACUAUUCAGAAAUAACAAACGACAAUAAAGAAGCAACAAUCCACGAUUGAAAAAUAGAAUAAUUGCGAUGAAGAACGAUUAAAGGAAAAGAACAAUAUAGAGGCGAAGAAGAAAAAAGAGCACCAAGAAAACUACAAUCAUAUCGUUUUGAAGAAUAUUCCUUAAUAAAUUUGGCUCAAAUGUACAAAGUCUAGGAUGUGCAUGAAUUAUCGAAAAUUGUUCAGAAUCUACUACAAAAUACUGUUAAGAAGCAACAAUUAAUGAUUGAAAAUAAGAAAAAUUGUGAUUAAGAACAGAAGAGCUUAAAUUAGAUGAGUGAUAUGACUACUGUUAAAAACGAUUUGAACACGUUAAUCACAAAUAUCAACGAUCUCAGAACUCAAAUGAUGUUUAUAGAAAGUACUAAGUAGUAUAGGUACUUAGUACUUACUUAAAGAUAAUAAAACUAAGUAUUAAAUUUCAACUAAGACUAACGAUCAUUUGGAAAUAUCAAAACGUCAAAUAGCAAGUUAAGCAAACUUAAGAAUAAAAUCGGAAUUCUUGAAAGUAAUUAGAAAAAUAUCAGAUAAUGGUAUAUAAUCACUAAUUAGGUAGGUGUGCAUAUGUCGUGCGUAUGUGUAAGAGAAGUGACAAAAAAUUCUGUUCAUAUUGGGAUGAAUUAUUCAUAUUAAACGUUGUUGUCGACAAGACUGAAUUUGAGAGCUGCUGUUUCAUUAGUAAAAAACAUUUUAAACGAAUCCUGUCAAAUACAUUAACGUUAUCUUCAUCAAUUACGACAAUGAGGUCAGCAUCGUCACGCCAAAUUUCGAAUCUACCUCCUUCUCCGCCACCACCAUCAUCAAUUUCGGUAGUUUUUGGAUUGGCAUCACCAUCUCCACCGAUCUUUAGUAUAAUAGUAUACCGUCAAC